AGAGCUUUGGACAAGUCUACAGACCAGUGCAUUUGAAAUUCUCUCCGCACCAGGGCUGAGUGUAGCUGGGAGGACAUUUUACUCAUCUGGGCUCUCCCUUCCCACAGUCAGCUGGUCCCUCUGCUCAGGUGUAGAUCACCUAUUAGAAUUUCACCAAAUUUUGAUAGUCUGCUGAGGAAAGUCCCAGGAUUUAGCAGCUGGGAUAGGCCUCACUCAAAGACAGCUCU
This is an unclassified non-coding RNA of Cavia porcellus (domestic guinea pig), 227 nucleotides long. The record is from Ensembl. NCBI's taxonomy places the organism in Eukaryota, Metazoa, Chordata, Mammalia, Rodentia, Caviidae.